Molecule: small RNA, 217 nt
Filed under: Pongo abelii (Sumatran orangutan)
Lineage: Eukaryota; Metazoa; Chordata; Mammalia; Primates; Hominidae
Description: processed transcript
Source: RNAcentral
CGAGGGGCGGGGAGCGCCGCCUGGAGCGCGGCAGGUCAUAUUGAACAUUCCAGAUACCUAUCAUUACUCGAUGCUGUUGAUAAAAGCAAGAUGGCUUUGAACUCAAGACUAAGAAAGCACUGUGCAUCACCUUGACCCUGGGGACCUUCCUCGUGGGAGCUGCGCUGGCCGCUGGCCUACUCUGGAAGUUCAUGGGCAGCAAGUGCUCCGACUCUGG